Drosophila simulans is the source of this 415-nucleotide long non-coding RNA. RefSeq lists it as uncharacterized. NCBI's taxonomy places the organism in Eukaryota, Metazoa, Arthropoda, Insecta, Diptera, Drosophilidae. The record is from RefSeq and is a predicted model, not a curated record. The transcript is spliced from 3 exons.
CUGGCCGCUCGCUUCCGAGUUGCCGCUCAGUCUGAAAAGUUCAUGUGACGCGUCGAGAACGUUGCGAUUCGAGUCCGCUGCCCGACUUCUGAUUGCCGAGGCAACAGCGACGGAAUUCCGCAUCUGGCAUCUGCAUCUGCAUCGGCACUCUCGCCACUCGCAGCUCGCAUCUGCUGCACCUGCUCCGCCGCACAGGUGGAUCGCCCAGCGCUAAAUCUUUCGGGUUUUCGCGUGCCUUGUUGUGGUGCCUUUUGUUUGGUGGCCCCCUUGUCGGAAAAGUCGGAAAAGUGUUUGCAGACACAGCAUUUAAUAAUGUAAGACUGCCCUAAGACCUGCCGUUCUGUAAUUACACGCGAGUUGCGGAGCAACCGAGGCAGCCACGCCACUCGACAGCGCCAGGACGCCAAGGAAAGGA